Long non-coding RNA from Gadus macrocephalus (Pacific cod), 4068 nucleotides. RefSeq lists it as uncharacterized. NCBI's taxonomy places the organism in Eukaryota, Metazoa, Chordata, Actinopteri, Gadiformes, Gadidae. The record is from RefSeq and is a predicted model, not a curated record. The transcript has 3 exons.
GAGGACCACAAGUGUCACGGAAAUGGUAAUAAAGAAAUAGACUAAAUUAUAAAGUAAUUCAUUAUUUGAUCUUUUAAUGGGCAAUAAAAGAGGAAUUAAAAAAAAAUAUUUACAAAUUAAAUAUGAAUCCAUCAAUAAGUAGCUCAAAUUAAAAAGGGAUUUACAAAAACAACAUAAAACAGUCAAUAAGUACAUCAUUUAAAAAUACAUUAAUGAAUUCAUAAAUAAAUGAUGCAAUUUAAAAAUCGAUUUGAAAAUGCCGUUUAAAAAGAGAAAUAAAUAACUGGAUUCACAAAUUGAAUUAAGAAUACAGAUUUUAAUCCGCCAUUUAAAUGGGCGAUUUCCUUGGCAUUUGCAUUUCCAUUUCCCCGCUGCUUUUCCUUUUCCUAUUAGCUAUUCGAUUAGCUUAGUCAUUUAGCUUCUCCUAUUAGCCUCUCCAUUUAGCUUUUCCGUGACACUUUGGUCCUUGCGCUGGUGAGACGAGGUAAAGCAAUGCAAAUUAGCCAUGUAACAAGCUCUCUGAUUGGCUAUCACCUGGCAUCUCAUAUGCAGACGUAUGACAUGGAUGUGGGAAGGAGAAGGUGGGUUUUUUUUAAGCACUAGAUGGAAGAAACACGGACUAACACAAUAAAUGCCAUAAUUCAUUUGGCUGACUAUGUCGACAAUCAUAUUCCAGUUGACUAUGACUAUGCUCUAACGAGGUUGCUUCAGCUAAGAGAAAACUUCGAAGCAUCCGGCUGCCAUUUAGAGGACGCUGUUCGGGCCAAGUUGAAUGAGGUGGAGCAUUUAAUUCGCCAAGAGAUUCAGCCCUGUCUUCUUGACUUGCAAAGAGACCAGUUGCAGCUGCAGAUCUCCUUCGGAAUCCCGCGCAGGGAGAUAGCAAGACGAUUUGGUGUGUCUUUAAAAACCCUCCAUCGCAGGAUUGCCCUGUGGGGAUUAAGGUAAGAAACCUCCAGUUGACUAGCUAGCUAAGGCUAACGACAUCUAGCGCUAACUGUCAACCCAUGCGGGUAGUCCUUCGAUAAAAGAUAAGAUAGGACAAGCGGUGAUAGCUACCUUUCCUGUUUUGUAGGCUUGGUCACUAGAGUACGUUUUGUUCGUAUACAACAUGGCAAAUCCUGAGAAAGCAUAUUGAAAUAUAACGUUACAUUCAAGUCCUGAUAAAUGUUAGGUGUAAUGCUAUGGAAUCUACAGGGUCUACAUUUCUCAACAGCUGACUGUAUUUUCAUACUUAAUACUUUGAAAAAAUAGUUUCAGCAGAAAUUGAACUAAAUAUUGUUUAUUUACUUUAUUAUUUAUUAACUGUGGUUCUAAUAGUGUGCAACUUUCUGUUCACUCAGACGAGAUGACUUGAACAACAGUAUCAGUGACGAGGAGUUGGACGUGAUUGUGUCUGACAUUCAUCGCCAUUACCCCAGCGCUGGCUACAAGAUGAUAUUGGGUCACUUGAGAUCAAGGCAACUUUUUGUCAAAAGGGGACGUGUGCUGGCAUCAUUAAGACGUGUGGAUCCUCAAGGGGUACUGAUGCGCAGGCUGUCACUACGAACCGUAAAGCGAAGAUGUUACUCUGUUCCAGCUCCCAACAGCCUUUGGCAUAUUGAUGGCCACCAUAAGCUUAUACGGUAGAACAGUUGCAAUGCUUUCACAACUUCUGUUUAUGGCAGUGAGAUGACUAUAUAGUUCAUGGUGUUUUUUGGUAGGAGGGUGUGAGUGCAUGUGUAGUGUGGACUCUAACAACUCAGGAAUCUCAUUUGUUUCUAAAUACUGAAGAGCAACAAGUUCACCAGUAGGCACUAUUUACUAUUUAGGUUCCCUGCCAAUUAGUGCAAUCCUUUAUCCUAUUUGAUUACCUGUGUAUUGUGUGUAAUCUGCAUCGUCUCAAACACCACUGGCCCAACAAUGACCAAACAUUGGUCCCAUAAUCAACAAUAAGGCAUGGCAUGUUUAUUUGAUUCACAGAAUUCAUACACAGCGGGUGCACAGUGAGUUUUACGAGACCUUGAUCUGAUCAAAUUUUUCAAAAAUCGUAAUGUGCUUCUUAAUUGACUUGAUCUGUUGCUUGCAAAAAAAUCCUGAAUCAAUUGUUAUGCUACGGCUUGGUAUUUAGUUUUAAGAGCCAGUGAGUCAAGGUGAGCUUUAGCUUUUUCUUUUGCACCAGAUGCUAUUUCAUUCACAUUGUCUUUAUCUGAAGGGUGUUCUGCAUCCUUAUUAUCUAAAGGGGUUCUGCAUCAUUCCUGGGAGAUGACAUUUUCUGCAAUUUCAUUGUUCAGUUAUGGUCUUAAUCUAAAUGUUGUACUUUGCCACAUCUUGUUUUCACAUUGUGUGUGUUUCAAUGCUACCUCUGCCAGAAAGUGAUUUAAAAGGACCUUCUUUUUCAUAUUUGUAGAUGGCGAGUGGUUGUGCAUGGUGGUAUUGAUGGGUUUUCACGGCUCAUCCUUUACCUGACUGCAGCGACCAACAACAGAGCCCAAACUGUCCUGGAGAGUUUCCUGUCUGCAGUAGAGCAGUAUGGUAUCCCCUCUAGAGUCCGCUCGGAUAAGGGAGGGGAAAACAUUCUGGUGGCACGCUUCAUGGUGACCAGUCGUGGACUCAAUAGCAACUCUCACAUUGCUGGAAGAAGUGUCCACAAUCAGAGGUGCUUGACACACCAAUAAAGUAAUUUGAUUAGUUGAGUUUCUAGAUAUUUGCAUUAUAGUAAUUGUUACGGCCACAACAAAAUAAACCUUUUGGCUCAAGCUUGUGAUCAGCAACAUAUACAGAGGACACCAUCCUGAGGAUUAUUUUUAAACAAGAGAUUUUAUUUACAAAAGUUUGCCAUGAAUUAACCAAAACUAUGAGAGUCUGGAGGCAUGGCCAAACCGAACAUAAUUUUUUUUUUUUUAAAAAGGUGGGAAGACUGGGCCAACCACACAAUGGGCUGUUAAAUUUUAUAUACUAUAGUUGAAAUUAAAAAUGAUAUAUUCCAAUCGUUGUUAUCAGCAGUAUGUCGAUGAAAAGAUGCCAAUGACAAGUGAAUGGUGAAACUGACCUGUUUGUGUUUUUGACUAGCUGUUUUUAUUUUUGUUUGUUUUUAGAAUUGGCUGUGGCUGUGGAGAGAUGUAUUUGAAAAUGUCAUCGAUCUCUUCUAUACCACUUUUCAUCGUCUGGAAGCUGAGGGAUGGCUUAAUCCAGACAAGGAGACAGACCCCUAUGCUUUACAUAGAUGUUACAUGCCGCAUAUCCAGUCACAUCUGCAACAAUUCCAGAGAGCAUGGAACAACCACUCCUUAAGAACCGCCAGAAACCAAUCCCCUCUGCAGCUGUGGUGGAGCAAAGCAAGAGAGGGGAACAGGACAAACUUUUGUCAGGUACAUGACGAAUGCAGAGUUAACUGGAGAGGGCCAGAGAGACCUGUGACAGACGGAGUUCACAUUCCUGAGUUGAAGCUGCCCCGGGCCCUGUCUGUGGCAGAAUUGGCAACACUGCCAAAUCCGGCUGUAUCAUUGCCAGAGACAAUACCAAUUUACAUUGAGACAGUACGCAUUCUUCGAGAAAUGCUGUAAUCAUGUAUGAUUUGUCAUACAGAUAAGAGUACUAGUGAUUGACCAUUUAUAACUUGUAGUUAGAGCUGUUAUAACCAAUAUUUCUGAAGUGGACACUGACAUUUCAGCAUCUAACAAGUCUGUUUUUAGGUUUUCUUGCAGGUGACUUUUCUGUUAUUGUGUCACCUUAAGCUAUCAAUGUGUAUGUUUUGUUUACAGCUUGUUGCACUGCUCCCAAGUGGCCAAAUAAAAGUUUGAUUUGCCUGGGGCCUGUACCACGAAGCUCGCUUAGAGGGUUAGCGAGGUAUGUUGAGCUCAAAGCCUGGGUUAGUUGUACCACGAAAGUCGAUCUCUUUUAGCGUCGCUGUAUCACCAUGGUGACUUAUGCUCGCAACCAAACCUGGUCGGGAGCAGUUUUUCGGCUUAUGUCUAGCCGGAGAUCGGCUACUUAAAUCGGCGUGCGCAGGUUCCUAGCCCCUCCUCUGACAAUGGCGUCAUCAUUUGUGGGCACGGUUGUAGUGAUUUGGUAGUUCCAGAGAAUGUCUAA